Molecule: ribosomal RNA, 461 nt
Filed under: uncultured bacterium
Lineage: Bacteria
Description: SSU rRNA
Rfam family: Bacterial small subunit ribosomal RNA
Source: RNAcentral
AGAAUCAACGCUGGCGGCGUGCCUAACACAUGCAAGUCGAACGAGAAAGUGGAGCAAUCCACAAGUAAAGUGGCGCACGGGUGAGUAACACGUGACUAACCUACCCUUGAGUGGGGGGAUAACCUAGGGAAACCUGGGCUAAUACCGCAUAAUACCUACGGGUCAAAGGAGCAAUUCGCUUAAGGAGGGGGUCGCGGCCGAUUAGUUAGUUGGCGGGGUAAUGGCCCACCAAGACGAUGAUCGGUAUCCGGCCUGAGAGGGCGCACGGACACACUGGAACUGAAACACGGUCCAGACUCCUACGGGAGGCAGCAGUGGGGAAUUUUGCGCAAUGGGGGAAACCCUGACGCAGCAACGCCGCGUGGAGGAUGAAGUCCCUUGGGACGUAAACUCCUUUCGAUCGGGACGAUUAUGACGGUACCGGAAGAAGAAGCCCCGGCUAACUUCGUGCCAGCAGCCGC